UAAGAAUUUAAAAGUCGAACAGACUUAUAUAUUAAGAAUUCUGCUUCUUAAAAUAUUCUUAAUUCAACAUCGAGGUCGCAAAAUUUAAUAUAGAUUAGAACUCCCCAUUAAAAUUACGCUGUUAUCCCUAAGGUAACUUAAUCUUAUUUUCCUUAUUUAAAAGAUCAAAAUUUACAUAAAUUAAUGAUUUUCUAAAUUAAAGUUAAGAUUUAAUUACCACCCCAGCAAAACAUAAAAAAUUAUCAUAAAAUAUAUUUAACUUAAAUAUAAAUAAUAGGUGUUUAUGUAAAGUUCUAUAGGGUCUUAUCGUCCCAAUAAAAAAAUAAAGCAUUUUAACUUUAAAUUUAAAUUCUAAUAUUUUAAGAAAUAAAAUAUACCUCUCAUACAUCCAUUCAUACUAGCCCUCAAUUAAAAGACUAAUUACUAUGCUACCUUUGCACAGUCAAAAUACUGCAGCCAUUUAGCUUCUAAACCAUAGGGCAGAAGAUACUUUUUAUAUAUUGCCA
This 506-nucleotide ribosomal RNA is filed under the name Nesophrosyne sp. 185 GMB-2012. RNAcentral describes it as "partial 16S ribosomal RNA". Lineage: Eukaryota; Metazoa; Arthropoda; Insecta; Hemiptera; Cicadellidae. The record is from RNAcentral.